CAGGAAGCUCCAUUGCGGUAACAUCAUUUAGGGCAGGAAGAGAGUUUGCAACUAAAACAACUUCUGUUCCACGUCGGAGGAGUUCCCUUGCCAAGGGAAGCAUCCCUAGAACAACAUCAGCACCUGAAUUGUCCACAAAGAGAAGAGCUCUUUUAUGUGGAAGGGGUCUCUCGUCCCCAGAUCCUAACAUUCUCUCUCUGAAGACAUCAAAAUCAUCAACCCGCCAUGGCCUCUGCAUCUUG
This 242-nucleotide unclassified non-coding RNA is filed under the name Hevea brasiliensis (rubber tree). The record is from RNAcentral. Lineage: Eukaryota; Viridiplantae; Streptophyta; Magnoliopsida; Malpighiales; Euphorbiaceae.